AAAAAUUUUGACUAACGAUAAAAUAAUGUGCCCUAAAUUAACUCAACACAUCUCUUUUGCCCUGAAUCGAUACACAUCUCCAGUCCAUCGCCCGAUCGCCGCCGACCCAUCGUCGCCGGACCGUCGUCGCCGGUCUAUUGUCGCUCCACGCCCUCCCAUUGACGCACCUCUGCUCUCCACUCGAAGUCAAACUCGAAGCCAAGCAGGUCGGCGGUCCAUCGUCGUCGGUCCAUCGUCCUCCACACCCUCCCAUUGACGCACCUCUGUUCUACACUCGGAGUCAAACUCGACGCUAAACAGGGUCGCCUUUGGAGAAGAGAAAACCUCCUGCUCUUGUAAGCUUGUGUCUUGGAUUUAUAGGCAAACAUCUUGAGGAUAUUAUUGAGGAUUUAGAUCUUGUGGCCAGUUUCCCACCAGACAUUAAGGUAGGUAUUAUGAUUCUGUUAUUUUACACUUAUGUAUAUGAAUAUCCUUUUUAUGCUCAAGAUUGUAGCAAAAUAUAAUAAUAUGAACAAUUAGGUUUUCUUGAUAAAUUGAGAUUUUCUACUUUUAGACCAUAUCAGUGAAGGCUUUGGCUUUUGUUUCUCCCUUUCUGUUAGAGCUUCCCUCUUGUUAAGCUCUUUACUCAGUGAAUCAAGCUUUUUCCUCCUUUUCUCCAAGUCUAACACUCUUUUCACAUGCUCUCGUGCAAAGCACUGCAUGUUUCUUGUCUCUGGGUUAGCAUAAAACUUAAUAUAAUCUUAUCAAGCAAAAAUCGAGGCAAGUAGGCAGUUAGAGAUGCAAAAGUCAAUUAAAAUGGCCUUAGAGGAAGCUAGUCACAAGGCCUCCAAACAAAAGCGCUUGAUAAGGAUCUAUAUCACAUUAUUUUGUAGCUAUUAUUUGUGUAUAGUUUAUAAAAUGAGUAAGCUGGGUUAGAAUUGGAAAACUUACUGUUUUUGGAAAUCUAUUUUGGUGGUUGUUUUUAACUUUGUUCUAAGAUUCAUAUGAUAUUCUAGCCAUUUCAGUAUUGUAUA
Molecule: non-coding RNA, 1013 nt
Organism: Lactuca sativa (garden lettuce)
Lineage: Eukaryota; Viridiplantae; Streptophyta; Magnoliopsida; Asterales; Asteraceae
Source: RefSeq, a predicted model, not a curated record